UGCAAGUCGAACGCCCCGCAAGGGGAGUGGCAGACGGGUGAGUAACGCGUGGGAACAUACCCUUUCCUGCGGAAUAGCUCUGGGAAACUGGAAUUAAUACCGCAUACGCCCUACGGGGGAAAGAUUUAUCGGGGAAGGAUUGGCCCGCGUUGGAUUAGCUAGUUGGUGGGGUAAAGGCCUACCAAGGCGACGAUCCAUAGCUGGUCUGAGAGGAUGAUCAGCCACAUUGGGACUGAGACACGGCCCAAACUCCUACGGGAGGCAGCAGUGGGGAAUAUUGGACAAUGGGCGCAAGCCUGAUCCAGCCAUGCCGCGUGAAUGAUGAAGGCCUUAGGGU
This 337-nucleotide ribosomal RNA is filed under the name Rhizobium sp. LT87. Its description in RNAcentral is "bacterial SSU rRNA". It matches the Rfam family "Bacterial small subunit ribosomal RNA", at positions 56 to 423 of the family's 1533-position model. Lineage: Bacteria; Pseudomonadati; Pseudomonadota; Alphaproteobacteria; Hyphomicrobiales; Rhizobiaceae. The record is from RNAcentral.